Molecule: long non-coding RNA, 11117 nt
Filed under: Homo sapiens (human)
Lineage: Eukaryota; Metazoa; Chordata; Mammalia; Primates; Hominidae
Description: non-protein coding lnc-NUFIP2-1:3
Source: RNAcentral
AGGAGCGCGCAAGGCUUGCUACGGGCAGAGUUGUCCCGGUGGCCCGGAGUUCCAGCCUCUGUCCAGCAUGGCCUCACUGAGUUCGCGGAGCUUCUAAUGCCACGCGGGCGUCAGGUGCAUUCAUUUCACCCCGGAGAUCUGAAGAAGAAGAGUUUAUCUGCAUUCCCCUUCCUUCCUGCUUCCCACCUCCAAAGCCCGCCACUGAUCCUGCGAAUAAGUUUGCCCUGAAGUGUGGAAUAUCCCAUUCCUGCACAACUCGGUUCUACACCCCCUCCCCCGUGGGAUUCAGAGUGGCAAGAGGAAAAACAGCAAGUCCAACUCCACAGGUUUGUAAGGAGCAGCCAGCUUUGAUUUGCCCUGCACGUCAUAGCUCAGAAAGUUUUGCUGCUCAUACAAUCCUCAGCAAAGACCAUCCAUUCAUUCCGGGAUUCCCCCAGCUCAUGGACACAGGUCGGUCUCUAACUACAGACAGCCUUCUUCUGGAAACUCUCACCAGCCUGAUUUCUAAACUCCCAGUCCACCUUCACAUUGUUUGCCUGUUUUCAGUGCCUUUCCUCUGCAGAUCUCUCAGUAGGCAGCCGUAAGGAGUCAGCAAAGGCUAACACGGCUGCCCUCAGCUGGAAACCUAGUGUAGUGCCUAUUACAUUUCUCCUGGAACCACUCCUUGUGAGAAAGGCAAUUCAAACUCUAUCUUAAGUGAGCAUCUACUUCCUUUUCAUCUGAGUUAUAAAAGAAUAGUGCCCCCUUUGGCUCAAAUCUAUGCAAUGUGGAGGAAGAAAAGGCAAGAGCUAAUCCUUGCCAUGAAUUCAUCAUUGUCAUCGUCACCAUUUCACCAUUAUCAGCAACAGACUCUAGAAACAACUUGGUGAAGGCUUGAAAAUAGAGGGUAGAGCAGAUAUAGGGCAGCCUUCUCAAGGAUAUCUCCUCCUUUUUUUGAAAAGAGAUGUUCUCUUUUUCUUGCAUCUUUAUUCUCAGUCCAUUUGCCCUACAGCCUCUGUGCUUCCAAGAUGAAGUUCUGAUAAGUGUCUGCUGUGAUAAGAUAAUAAGAGAGUCUAUCUAUGUAGCUUGGAAAUAAACACUGGAAUUGCUUCUCAAAAAUCCAGAUUGAUUUAAACACCCUCUGGCAAUGUUCUUUUGGCAUCCUCCCCAAUUUUAAAUAACUUGGGUCACAGUUUCCUCCACUCAUUGACUCAGCACUUCAGUGGCAAAGUGACCCUCUAAAUUUCACCUCAGCUAAGAUAGCUCCUCCACCUCCUAGAAGGAUAAUAUUGUGAAUUAAAUGCUGAUGCUGUUUCUGAUUUAGCACAUAUGCACCACCCACAGACAAUUUAUUCUAGACUUUCUUUUAAUGCCAGGGGCUUUAAGAUUACUGAUGAACAGAUCCCUCCCCCAUCCAAGCCCUCUAUUCACCCAGGAAUUUGCGAUGGAAAUAGUACUGUUGGCUGGAGUAGAGCGGCAUACCAGUGCUUCUGAGAGCUGAGUGGCCGUUGCCAUGGGGGCGAGUGUGUUUGUAUAGAACUGCCUAUACAAGGUGGCAGGAUUGAGGGCUGCUUUUGAUUCAGAGCUGAUUAGAGUAGACCUGAGCCAGCCCCCUUAUUUUACAGAUGAGGAAACUGAGGCCCAAAGAUUUAGUCAAAUGACUUAUUCAAGGUCUGAGGGCAAGGUAGAGACAGAGUUGGGCCUUUUGCAAUGCAUCACUCUUUCCAAUAAAACACCCAUUCUGGUUGAGUGGGUGCUCUUCCAGCCAGUUCCACUAAUGCCACUAUGUUAUUACAGCACCAUCAAUCCAGGUGGAAGUGCCAGGAAACAUGGUACAGGCAAUAAUGAGUAUGUAAAUAUUCUUGCAUUUGUAUGCAUGCAUAUGUUUGCAUCAAAUUACACGUGCACACCUGAGGGUGAUUGUGCUAACUGGAUGUUUUUAUAGUUCUCUGAUUACUGAAAUUCCUUAAACCACCCUUUCCUCAAGUGAAAUGCGAAUAAGAAAUAAUACCUAUCUCAAAGGAUUAAAUGAAAUAAUGAAUUUAAAGUACUUAGCACAGUAGCUGGCAUAAUAAGUGUUUGAUAUUAUAUUGUUUCUAUUAUGUCUUUCUGCAAUGGAAUGUGUCAGUGACUGCCUUCCAGGCACUGGGCUAAAUGCUUUAAUUUUUCAUUUAAUAUUUACAACACAGUCCUUUGAAAUAGGUUCUUUUGUUAUCUGCACAGCACUAAUGAGAAAACUAGGCCUAGAGAGGUUGAAUAACUUGCCUAAGGUCCCAGGGCUAGGAAGUGGCUGAGCAAGAAUCAAAACCAGGUCUGUCUAAUGUUAAUGCCCUCAAUUUAACAAUUAGGUUGUACUGCCUCUCCUAUAGAAAAGAGGAGACACAAUGAAUCUAUUCUAGUGUUUUUGAAUUUGUUUGCAAGAACUCUAAAUCCAAAUACAUUAAAUACAAAUUGCAUGUGGGGUGGACUGGCUCAUCCAUAUAAAUAAAUUUUCAUUAAACCCACUGAAACUGUAAGCAAAGGGUUUGUUUUCACUCCCCUUUAAUUACAGUUUUUUAUAGAGACCCUACUUAGGCAUUUUGUAUAAGAGACAAUUGCCCAAUGAAUGCCAUUUUAUUCAAUAUCUUAUUAUUUCAAAACUCCAUAGGUCUCCUCUUUUUUUUUCUUGCUUUGUCUCCCAGGCUGGAUGCAGUGACGUGAUCUCAGCUCACUGCAACCUCCACCUCCCGGGUUCAAGCAAUUCUCCCUGCCUCAGCCUCCUGAGUAUCUGGGAUUACAGGCACCCACCACUACGCCGGGCUAAUUUUUGUAUUUUUAGUAGAGAUGGAGUUUCUCCAUGUUGGCCAGGCUGGUCUUGAACUCCUGACUUCAGGUGAUCUGCCCGCCUCGGCCUCCCAAAGCACUGGGAUUACAGGUGUGAGUUGCCGCGGCUGGCCCAUAGUCUCCAGACCUAUGUAAAAAAAUACUAAUCUAGGCCGGGCAAGGUGGCUCACCUCUGUAAUCCUAGCACUUUGGGAGGACAAGGUGGGAGAAUCACUCGAGUUGAGGAGUUGGAAACCAGCCUGGGCAACAUAGUGAGACUUUGUCUCUACAAAAAAUAAACAAAAUUAGCUGGAUGUGGUGGUGCAUGUCUGUAGUUCUAGCUACUUGGGAGGCUGAGGUGGGAGGAUUGCUUGAGCCCAAGAGGUUGAGGCUGCAGUGAGCCAGAUCACGCCACUGCACUCCAGCCCGGGUGACGCAGUGAGACCCUGUCUGAAAAAACAAGAGGAGUUUAAAACCAGCCUGGGCAAAAUAGGGAGACCCGUCUCUCUACAAAAUAUAAAAAUAAAUUAGCAGGCCAGGAGCAGUGACUCACGCCUAUAAGCCCAGCACUUUGGGAGGCCAAGGCAGGCUAAUCACCUGAGGUGGGGAGUUCGCAACCAGCCUGAACAACAGGUUUAGUAGAAACCCUGUCUCUACUAAAAGUACAAAAUUAGCUGGGUGUGGUGGCACAUGCCUGUAAUCCCAGCUACUAGGGAGGCUGAGGCAGGAGAAUCGCUUGAACCUGGGAGGCAGAGGUUGCUGUGAGCCGAGAUCGCGCCAUUGCACUCCAGCCUGGGCAACAAGAGCGAAACUCCAUCUCAAAAAAAUAAAUAAGUAAAUAAAAAAUUAGCAAGGCAUGGGGGCUUCCAUCUGUGGUCCCAGCUACUUGGGAGGCUGAGGCAGGAGGAUCACUUGAGCCCUGGAGGUCAAGGCUGCCAUAAGCAGUGAUCAUACCGCUAUACUCUAUCUGGGUGACAGAAUGAGACCCUGUCCCCCUACACACCCCAAAAAGAAUAUACCUAUUUGUUUUCUAUCUCCCCUACUAGAUUGUAGGCUCCAUAUGAGAACAAGGACCAUGGCUGCUUAGUUCAUCAAGAUAUAUGGUGAACCUAGCAGAAUGCCUAGCACAUAGUAAGCACUCAUAAAUAGUAGCUGAUGUCAUUAUUCCUAGUGAACUCCCUUUUUCAUUCUGCAAAAUGGCUGUUUCAAAGCUAUACCACUCUCUUCAAACUUCCUCCUCUAAUCUUUACCUCCUUAAAAUAGGAUAGAAAUUACUAUCUUAUUCUCUUUUUUUUUUUUUUCUGAGACAGAGUUUCGCUUUUGUUGCCCAGGCUGGAGUGCAAUGGUGCGAUCUUGGCUUACUGCAACCUUCGCCUCCCAGGUUCAAGUGAUUCUCCUUCCUCAGCCUCCAGAGUAGCUGAGAUUACAGUUGCCCGCCACCACACCCAGCUAAUUUUUUGUAUUUUUAGUAGAGAUGGGUUUUCACCAUGUUGGUCUCGAACUCCUGGCCUCAGGUGAUCUGGCCGCCUUGACCUCCCAAAGUGCUGGGAUUACAGGAGUGAGCCACCGCAUCGGGCCACUAUUCUCAUUUUCUAUAAUCUCCUUAAAUGCCCUGAAUUUGAGUUAAACUGGACCACUUAACAUUCCGUCACACCUCCAACCCACUGUUCGCACUAUUCCUCUCCCAGAAAUGCCCCCGUCUACUUCCCAUCCCAUAUUGUCAUGUUGUCCUUAAAGCUCAACUCAAAGGGCAAGCGCAUUCCCUUUUUAGUUUUCCCUGAUAGUCCACAAUUAACUGUUUCCUUCCCAGAGCCUUUCACAAUACUUUUACAUUAACUUUUCACAUUUUUUAUGUGUUAUUUGUGUGAGUCUCUUACCCCAAGGAGUGAAUUCUUUAGGGAUAAGAGAUUUGUUAUCUUCUUUAAAUCCCCACCACUCAGUACAGCUCUUGAUGCAUGGAAUGCAGUCAAUAUAUAGUAAGCAAAUUAGUAAAUCCAGGGCAGAGUAUCUUUAAAAGAAAAACACAAGUUAUCCCAGAAACUAACAAUAAGAGACCUGAUAGGACUCUGAGAAAAGGCAAAUACUGAAAAGGCCAGGUGUGGUGGUUCACACCUGUAAUCCCAGCACUUUGGGAGGCUGAGGUGGGCGGAUCACAAGGUCAGGAGAUUGAGAUCAUCCUGGAUAACACGGUGAAACCCCGUCUCUACUAAAAAUACAAAAAAAUAGCCGGCCUGGUGGCAGGCGCAUGUAAGUCCCAGCUAUUCAGGAGGGAGGCUGAGGCAGGAGAAUGGUGUGAACCCUGGGAGGCAGAGUUUGCAGUGAGCCGAGAUCGUGCCACUGCACUCCAGCUUGGGUGACAGAGCGAGACUCCAUCUCAAAAAAAUAAAUAAAUAAAUAAAAUAAAAAGAGAAAAGGCAAAUACUGUGUUAAUCAUGCCUCAGAAACAUCUUUUCUUUAAAAACCAUAGAAAUCGGCCAGGUGUCCGGGUGCGGUGGCUCAUGCCCAUAAUCCCAGCACUUUGGGAGGCCGAGGCGGGCGGAUCACAAGGUCAGGAGUUCAAGACCAGCCUGGCCAAUAUGGUGAAACCCCGUCUCUACUAAAAAAUACAAAAAUCAGCCAGUCGUGGUGGCACACGCCUGUAUUCCCAGCUACUCAGGAGGCUAAGGCCGGAGAAUCACUUGAACCCGGGAGGCAGAGGUUGCAGUGAACUGAGAUCGCACCACUGCACUCUAGGCUGGGCAACAGAGUGAGACUCUGUCUCAAAAAAAAAAAAGAAAAAAAAAAGCAAUGGGCCAGGCACGGUGGCUCAUGCCUGUAAUCCCAGUACUUUGGGAGGCCAAGGCGGGGCAGCUCACUUGAGCCCAGGAGUUUAAGACCAACCUGAACUCAUGACGAAACCCCAUCUAAAAAAAAAUUACAAAAAUUAGCCAGCGUGGUGUUGCAACUACUUGGGAGGCUGAGGUAGGGGGAUCACCUGAGCCCUGGAGGCUGAGGCUACAGUGAGCCCUGAUCAUGCCACUGCACUCCAGCCUGGGUGACAAAACAAAACCUGGUCUUAAAACAAAACAUAGAAAUCCUCAAAGAAGCUUCUCUUCCCACAUGGAAAAACAGAAACCCAGAAAUUGAGUGAAAAUUGAGUGAAAUCAGGACUCCUUGGGCUGACCACUAAGGCUUUAAGAAAAAAAGUCGGAUGCUCCUUACUUAGGGAAAAUGUGAAUGUGAGCUACUCUGUUCUUUCUUUCUUUCUUUUUUUUUUUUUUCUGAGACAAAGUCUCAUUCUGUCGCCCAGGGUGGAGUGCAGUGGUGCGAUCUCGGCUCACUGCAACCUCCACCUCCCGGGUUCAAGCGAUUGUCCUGUCUCAGCCUCCCGAGUACCUGGAAUUACAGGCAUGCGCCACCAUUCCCGGCUAAUUUUGUAUUUUUAGUAGAGACUGUGUUUCACCAUGCUGGCCAGGCUGGUCUAGAACUCCGGACCUCAGGUGAUCCGCCCGCCUCAGCCUCCUAAAGUGCUGGGAUUAUGGGUGUGAGCCACCGCACUUGGCCUUAGUUACCCUUUUCUAACUCUCGUUCAAUCUACAAAGAGGAGCUAGGCUCUACUUCCAGAUAUUCUGAGUUAAUUGGUUUAGCAUAUAGGAAUCGGUAUUUUUUAGAAGCCUCCCUGAAUGAUAAAAUGUGCAGCCAGGUUGGAGAAGCAGUUCUUAGAAUGACGUUAUGGACAUAAUAUGCCCCUCUUAAACUCAUAUGUUGAAGCCCUAACCCCUAAUGUGGUGGGUUUUGGGGGUGAGACCUUGGGAGGUAAUUAGAUUUAGAUGAGGUCUUGAGAGUAAAGCCCCGUAUUGAGAUUAGUGUCCUGAUAGGGAGGAAGAGACCAGACCUCUGUGUGUGUGUGUGUGUCUCUCUCUCCCACAAUGUGAGGACACAGCUGGAAGUUGGCCAUCUGCAAGCCAGGGCAAAGGCCCUUACCAAGAACCUGAUCAUGCUGACCCUGUGAUCUGGGACUUCCCAGCCUCCAGAACUUUGAGAAAUAAAUCUGUUUUGUUUUUGUUUUUGUUUUUUGAGACAGAGUCUUGCUCUCUCACCCAGGCUGGAGUGCAAUGGUGUGAUCUCAUCUCACUGCAACCCCUGCCUCCCGGGUUCAAGCAAUUCUCCUGUCUCAGCCUCCUGAGUAGCUGGGACUACAGGUGCCUGCCACCAAGCCUGGCUAAUUUUUGUAUUUUUAGUAGAGAUGGGGUUUCACCAUAUUGGUCAGGCUGCUCUUGAACUCCUGACCUCAGGUGAUUCACCCGCCUUGGCCUCCCAAAGUGCUGGGAUUACAGGCGUGAGUCACUGCGCCCGGCCAAAAUCUGUUGUCUAAGCCACUUAGUCUAUGGUAUUUUGUUACAGCACCUCAAGCUGCCUAAGACAAACAGCAACACACUGGUCUUUCUUUUUUGCUUUGCUUUGCUUUUUUUUUUGAGACGGAGUCUCGCUCUUUUCUCCCAGGCUGGAGCUCAGUGGCGCGAUCUCGGCUCACUGCAAACCUCCACCUCCUGGGUUCAAGCGAUUCUCCUGCCUCAGCCUCCUGAGUAGCUGGGAUUACAGGUGCCCACCACCAUGGCCCGGCUAAUUUUUGUACUUUUAGUAGAGAUGGAGUUUUGCCAUGUUGGCCAGGCUGGUCUGGAACUCCCAAUCUCAGGUGAUCCGUCCGCCGCGACCUCCCAAAGUGCUGGGAUUACAGGCGUGAGCCACUGCGCCUGGCCCUUUUUUCUUUUUUCUUUUUUUGAGAUGGAGUCUCGCUCUGUUGCCCAGGCUGGAGUGCAAUGGCGCGAUCUCGGCUCGCUGCAACCUCUGCCUCCCAGGUUCAAGCAAUUUCCAGCUAAUUCUUUUGAAUUUUUAGUAGAGACGGGGUUUCACCAUGUUGGCCAGGCUGAUCUGGAACUCCUGUCCACAAGUGAUCCGCAAUAUACUGGUCUUUCAUACAGGCAUAGUGGAGAGCCGAUAUAAAUAUCAGAAACUGAGACUUAGAAAUUCAACAAAUCAUCAUUAUCAUACAAAGCACUCUGAAACACUGCCUGGUGCAUAGACAACGCUCUAUAAGUGUAAGUGAGUAGUAGAAGUAUUAGUAUUAUCAUCACCAUUGUCAAACUGAUAAUGAGGGGUCGCUACAUACUUUCUUUUAAUUUUCACCAAAGAAUUAAAGGUAGAUUAUUUUUCUGUUAAAGAGCUUCUGAUUUAAUAGUGUUGAAUAGUUUGAACAAGGUUUCAGCGUCAGUAUUCAAAUUAUGACUGAAAUUUGAAUGUCUUUCAUUACAACAGGUUGAUGGCCGCAGAAAUAACUUCCUGUUAUUCAGAAUAGUGAUGCCCAGGACAAAUAUUACUAUUCCAUAUUUUCCCUGUUUCCUUGGCCAUCAUCCCUUUUUGCUUUCCAGAUUAAGCCCUCCAAGGGAGGUUUAAAUAAAAGGCCGUAUGGGCUAAAACCAAACAACAACUGAGCAAUACCAAUGGGCAGAAUUUGGGGAUCUAAAAACCUAAUGGUUUACCUGGAAACAACUAACCCUAUUUACAAUAAAGAGCCUCCAGCUCUUUGGCUCACCUCCAUCUCUUGGGCUCUCCUCCAGGCUUGGAGAGAUCAGACUGCUAAAGACAGUCUUUUUCAAGAGGUUCAUUUUUUAUCUAGUCCUCAAGUCCUCCUACCCUUAUUGAUUUCUUUUUUCUUUCCUUUUUUUUUUUUUUUUGGUUGUUGUUGUGUGUUGUGCUUUUUUGUUUUGUUUUGUAUUGAAACAGGUUCUUGCUCUGUUGCCCAGGCUAGAGUGCAGUGGCAUGAUCAUAGCUCAUGUAGCCUCCAUCACCUGGGCCCAAGUGAUCCUCCCACCUCAGCCUCCUGAAGAGCUGGGACUACAUGCAUGUGCCACUAUGCCAAGUUAGUUCUUUUGGUUUUUAGUAGAAAUGAGGUCUUGCUAUGUUGCCCAGGCUGGUCUCGAAUUCCUGAGUUCAAGCUAUCCUCUGGUCUCAGCCCCCCAAAUUGCUAGGAUUACAGGAUGAGCCACUGCACCCAGACUACCCUUGUUGAUUUCUAAAACUAUUUAAGUGUCUUAAAAACUCAGGAUGAUACCUAGAAAUGAGUCCAGAAAAGGGGAAAUGUGGGGGGAAGUGCUGUUGUUGACAUUAUCCCAAUAACCCCAGGAACCCAGAUCAGUCCAGCACUUUUUCAAAUGUCUUGAUUAUUUUACUGAUACAAAAUUGGAUCAGGCUUUUUGACAGUUUGUGGUGAGGGAAAAACCCAGAGCUGGGCCAGAAUGACACCAGGAAGCCCUAUGUUUCAUUUGGCUAAUAUUCUUUCUUAAAGAACCAAAUCAAAGUCAUUUCUUUUGUGACACUGUGAUAACAUGUGCAGUCCUACAGGUGGAGCUACCUUUAUUUAUUUAUUUAUUUAUUUGAGAUGAAGUCUUGCUCUGUCACCAGGCUGGAGUGCAGUGGCGCGAUCUCAGCUCACUGCAACCUCUGCCUCCUGGGUUCAAGUGAUUCUCCUGCCUCAGCCUCCUGAGUAGCUGGGACUACAGGCGCGGGCCACCACGCCUGGCUAAUUUUUUUGUUUUUUUAGUACAGAUGGGGUUUCACCAUGUUGGCCAGGAUAGUCUUGAUCUCUUGACCUCAUGAUCCGCCCGCCUAGGCCUCCCAAAGUGCUGGAACUACAGGUGUGAGCCACCGCGCCUGGCUGGAGCUAUCUUUAUUAUUGCACUUAUCAUUGUAUUAAAAUUAUUUGAUUACCUGUCACUUCUCUUCAUCUUUCUAUGAACAAAUAGAAAGAUAAUAUCUAUUACUUCUAUUCUCCCUCUAACAAUAGCAAUUACACAGUGGCAAAUACAUUAAAGAUGCUUAAUAAAUCAUUGUUAAACAAAUUAACAGAUAUAUGGAUACUAGGCCUUUGGGUCUUAUUUAGGCCUGAAGUGGUAGUACAAUUGCAGAGGACAUACUUUUGCAUCAUUUGGGCCUGUCUUAGUCUGUUUUGUGUUGUUAUAACAGAAUACCACAGAGUGGGUAAUUUACAAAGAAAAGAAAUUUAUUUCUGGAGGCUGGGAAGGUUAAGUUCUAGGGACCCACAUCUGAUGAGGGCCUUCUUUCUGUGUCAUCCCUUGGCAGGUGAAAGGCAAAGGGUGAGUGCAGGCCAUAGAACUCACAGCCUUAAGCCCUUUUUAAUUGGAUAUUAUAUUAACACAUUCAUGAGGGCUCCAUCCUCAUGACCUAAACACCUCCCAUUAGGCCCUACCUCCCAACACUGUUGGCGUUGGGGAUUGUUUCCAACAUGUAUUCCUUGGGGAACACAUUCAAACCACAGCAGGACCCAUAUCUGUGCAUCGUAUUAGAUGAUAAAACUUUUUUUUUUUUUGAGACAGAGUCUCGCUCUGUCACCCAGGCUGGAGUGCAGUGGCGCGAUCUUGGCUCACUGCAACCUCUGCCGCCCAGGUUCAAACGAUUCUCCUGCCUCAGCCUCCCAAGUAGCUAGGUUACAGGCACCUGCCACCAUGCCUGGCUAAUUUUUGUAGUUUUAGCAGAGACAGGGUUUCACCAUCUUGGCCAGGCUGGUUUUGAACUCCUGACCUUGUGAUCCACCCACCUCAGCCUCCUGAAGUGCUGGGAUUACAGGCAUAAGCCACCGCACCCAGCCAAUAAAACAUUUUUAUAUUUUAUUUUGCUUUAUUUGUCUUUGUAUCUUCUAUAGUACCCAUUUUCAAGAAAUAUAUAUUGAGGAUCUGUUCUGCUCAGAAAUGGAAUAGAAUUUGUAUGUUUUAACCAGGUCAAAGUCCAUUCAUAAACUUAACAUUUAUUGUCUUAUUGCUGUAUGAGAAUACUGUGACAGAUAGGAAGUGUAAAGGGUUGGACCAACAUUACUCUUACAGGAGAUGAGAAUCUGUGGGUAAUUUUUUUUUUUUUUGAGACAGUCUCGCUCUGUUGCCCAGGCUGGAGUACAGUGGCACGAUCUCGGCUCACUGCAGCCUCUGCCUCCCAGGUUCAAGCAGUUCUCCCACCUCAGCCUCCCUAGUAACUGGGAUUACACACAGCUAAUUUUUGUAUUUUUGUAGAGACGGGGUUUCACCAUGUUGGCCACCUCGUCAUGAACUCCUGACCUCCGGUGAUUUGUCCACCUCGGCCUCCCAAAGUGCUGGGAUUACAGGCAUGAGCCACCGCGCCUGGCCUUACUUUUUUUUUUUUUUUGAGACAGUUUCACUCUGUUGCCCAGGCUGGAGUGCAGUGGAGUGAUCUCAGCUCACUGCAACCUCUGCCUCCUGGGUUCAAAUGAUUCUCCUGCCUCAGCCUCUUGAGUAGCUGGGAUUAUAGACGCCCACCACCUCGCCUGG